RNAcentral lists this ribosomal RNA (253 nucleotides) under uncultured bacterium. RNAcentral's name for it is "partial 16S ribosomal RNA". It matches the Rfam family "Bacterial small subunit ribosomal RNA", at positions 524 to 776 of the family's 1533-position model. The record is from RNAcentral.
UACGGGGGGGGCAAGCGUUGUUCGGAAUUACUGGGCGUAAAGGGCUCGUAGGCUGCCAACUAAGUCAGACGUGAAAUCCCUCGGCUUAACCGGGGAACUGCGUCUGAUACUGGAUGGCUUGAGAUUGGGAGAGGGAUGCGGAAUUCCAGGUGUAGCGGUGAAAUGCGUAGAUAUCUGGAGGAACACCGGUGGCGAAGGCGGCAUCCUGGACCAAUUCUGACGCUGAGGAGCGAAAGCCAGGGGAGCAAACGGG